This 568-nucleotide ribosomal RNA is filed under the name uncultured bacterium. RNAcentral describes it as "bacterial SSU rRNA". It matches the Rfam family "Bacterial small subunit ribosomal RNA", at positions 119 to 674 of the family's 1533-position model. The record is from RNAcentral.
AGGCAACCUGCCCUCAAGUUUGGGACAACUACCGGAAACGGUAGCUAAUACCGAAUAGUUGUUUCCUUCGCCUGAAGGAAACUGGAAAGACGGAGCAAUCUGUCACUUGGGGAUGGGCCUGCGGCGCAUUAGCUAGUUGGUGGGGUAACGGCUCACCAAGGCGACGAUGCGUAGCCGACCUGAGAGGGUGAUCGGCCACACUGGGACUGAGACACGGCCCAGACUCCUACGGGAGGCAGCAGUAGGGAAUCUUCCGCAAUGGGCGAAAGCCUGACGGAGCAAUGCCGCGUGAGUGAUGAAGGUUUUCGGAUCGUAAAGCUCUGUUGCCAGGGAAGAACGCUUGGGAGAGUAACUGCUCUCAAGGUGGCGGUACCUGAGAAGAAAGCCCCGGCUAACUACGUGCCAGCAGCCGCGGUAAUACGUAGGGGGCAAGCGUUGUCCGGAAUUAUUGGGCGUAAAGCGCGCGCAGGCGGUCAUUUAAGUCUGGUGUUUAAUCCCGGGGCUCAACCCCGGAUCGCACUGGAAACUGGGUGACUUGAGUGCAGAAGAGGAGAGUGGAAUUCCACGU